This 544-nucleotide ribosomal RNA is filed under the name uncultured bacterium. RNAcentral describes it as "bacterial SSU rRNA". It matches the Rfam family "Bacterial small subunit ribosomal RNA", at positions 777 to 1320 of the family's 1533-position model. The record is from RNAcentral.
AAUAGAUACCCGGGUAGUCCACGCCGUAAACGAUGAGUGCUAAGUGUUGGGGGGUUUCCGCCCCUCAGUGCUGCAGCUAACGCAUUAAGCACUCCGCCUGGGGAGUACGGUCGCAAGACUGAAACUCAAAGGAAUUGACGGGGGCCCGCACAAGCGGUGGAGCAUGUGGUUUAAUUCGAAGCAACGCGAAGAACCUUACCAGGUCUUGACAUCCCGGUGACCACUAUGGAGACAUAGUUUCCCCUUCGGGGGCAACGGUGACAGGUGGUGCAUGGUUGUCGUCAGCUCGUGUCGUGAGAUGUUGGGUUAAGUCCCGCAACGAGCGCAACCCUUAUUCUUAGUUGCCAUCAUUCAGUUGGGCACUCUAAGGAGACUGCCGGUGAUAAACCGGAGGAAGGUGGGGAUGACGUCAAAUCAUCAUGCCCCUUAUGACCUGGGCUACACACGUGCUACAAUGGACGGUACAAACGGUUGCCAACCCGCGAGGGGAGCUAAUCCGAUAAAACCGUUCUCAGUUCGGAUUGUAGGCUGCAACUCGCCUACA